RNAcentral lists this long non-coding RNA (1814 nucleotides) under Homo sapiens (human). RNAcentral's name for it is "non-protein coding lnc-KATNAL1-8:1". Lineage: Eukaryota; Metazoa; Chordata; Mammalia; Primates; Hominidae. The record is from RNAcentral.
AUGGUGACCUCUCUGGGUUUUAACACCUGGAACAGGCCGGGUGCAGUGGCUCACACCUGUCCAUCCCAGCACUUUGGGAGGCUGAGAUGGGCAGAUCAACUGAGGUUGGGAGUUUGAGACCAGCCUGGCCAACAUGGUGAAACCCUAUCUCUACUAAAAAUACAAAAAUUAGCCAGGCGUGGUGGUGCACACCUGUAAUCCCAGCUACUCUGGAGGCUGAGGCAUGAAAAUCGCUUGAACCUGGGAGGCGGAGGUUGCAGUGAGCUGAGAUCGCGCCACUGCACUCUAGCCUGGGCAACAGAGUGAGCCUCUGUCUUAAAAAAAAAAAAAAAAAAAAAAAAAAACCUGGAACAGGCAGAGCCUGGAGGAUGUGUGUGGACUUCCCAUCUGUGCCAAAUGUGCUUUGGAGAAAACCCACAUAGCUGAAUGAUUAAAGUCAAGCACGGAAGGAAUGCAGUCUCUGUGCCAGGCCAUUCCCAGUGUUUCACUGGUGCCCUGGGGUCCACAUGCUUUUUUAAAGAAGACUAGGCCAGGCACAGUGGCUCACGCCUGUAAUCCCAGCACUUUGGGAGGCUGAGGCAGGCGGAUCACCUGAGGUCGGGAGUUCGAGACCAGCCUGACCAACAUGGAGAAACCCUGUCUCUACUAAAAAUACAAAAUUAGCCGGGCGUGGUGGCAGGUGCCUGUAAUCCCAGCUACUCAGGAGGCUGAGGCAGGAGAACUGCUUGAACCCGGGAGGCAGAGGUUGUGAUGAGCCAAGAUCGCGCCAUUGCACUCCAGCUUGGGCAACAAGAGCGAAAACUCCAUCUCAAAAAAAAAAAAAAAAAAGACUAAAGUGUGCCAAAUUUGCAGUAAAUUGGAGAAUGUCAGACCUGCCUCUUAGACGUAGAGUGUGGCCAGCACAUCCAGGUUCAUGACACAGCAUUGUCUUUUGAAAGUAAUGUGCCAAAGUCAGAUGUCAACCGAGGGUUCUACACACAGAAUAUGGAGAGAGAUCUGUAACUCUGAUGGAACACGUCUAAUUAGCAUGCUGGGGAAAGACACAUCCCCCAGUGUCGUGCUGCUCAAACUGGCCUGGACCAUACCCUACUAUCAAAGGAAUCAGCCUCACAUUUGCUCCUGCUAGGUGAAAGGAGAGUGUCAGAGAAAAGAGGAGCGUCCCUACAGACAGAAGAAGCCUACAGAUCUGGAUGAUCCCCUUGCUGAUCAAAAUGUUGAAGACUCAUAUUAUGGAAUCAAUGACCCUAUAGCUGAUAAGCUUCUAAAGCAGACUUCAACCAUGCCUCAUCUGGACCCACCAGAGGACAAGACUCUCACCACAUUAGACGUGGAUGGUCUGGGUGAAACAGAUCAGAGAAAUCAUUUCUACCAGUUAGGAGAGAUUGACCAUCACUCUAAUGCAGAAGCAGCAGGGUGCUUUCACCCAGUUUUCCACAAGGCAGGCUACAGACAUGGCUGCUGAGAAGUCCUUUAAUAAGUUGAUUGCAAUCGCCACAGACUCAACGUGAAAUCAAGAAGAUCUCAAGCAGCCAGAGGAAAAGAAAAAGAAGGACGGAACCACAUACUCUGGGAUCAAGUUAGAGCCUUUUCCAGGACUGCCAUGAGCUCUUCCUCCUGUUGCAGCAGCUACUUCAGCCUACCCCUAAGUGAUCCUCCACCACUGUGGUGAACAUUGCCCUGCCACCCCCACCACUCCCCGUACUAUCAGGUUUGGGGCUACACAUGUUCCACCUCAUUCCUUUCAUGAAGACUCCAGGACCAAUCCUUUUCAGGACCCUCAGAGGAUGGGAGCUCAUGCUGGAAAAUACAGCUGC